GUUCAAUCACUUAGGGGAAUGUUGCAAAUCGGUAGGGGAGUGUUGCAAGCACUCUGUGGAUAUUUGCAAUCAUAUAGGGGAAUCUUUCAAGCAGUUAGGGGAGAGUUGCAAUGUCACUGGGGAAUUUUGCAAUCCGUAGGGGAAUUUUAUCCGGGUUUCAAUCCAACCCUGCAAAUGUCAAGUGUCAGAAGAUAGUUUGUUUACAUUGCGUCGAUGCCGGCUCAUAAACACUCAAUCAGGCGAAGGAAAAGGCAAAGGUUCAUUGAAGUUAAAUGCUAGUGGAAACGUUGUAGUUUACUAUGCACGUGAAAUUUAUCUACAUAGAUAGCAGCUAUUAGCGUGCCCACUGCCAGAUGUAAAACAUCUAGACAUUCUUCGUUAAUGUCGGAAAUUUCUCCUUCUUGGUGUGGCCUCUCACAUUAGUCGUGUCGAUAUACUCAGCUUAUACAUAUGUAAUGUUACAAUGCUUGUAACACAUUUGUUUUUUACGCACCUUUUGUUUGCACCAACUACACGACGGUGUCAUAGAAAUAUAACGCAUGAUCACAUGAUCCAGUCAUCGAGUUUGCUGUGCUCCGCUUUGCCUCAUACCGAAUCCAGCAUCCUCAUGACAUGCCUCAGCCAUCGUAUCCUGCCAGCCUUCGCCACCGUCAGCAUCCGCAAGCUCUUGGGUCAUCCUUCUUCUCAACGCUACAUGCUUGAACACACCGCUAAAUAUGACCAGGAGGAUGCGUCUCUCAAACACGAAUAGAGCGUUUGCAUUCUCCGCUAGGAUGGUCCAAGACUCCUGUCCAUAGAGGACCACCGGGCGCAUCAUAUACGAUAUAUCUCACAUUUCUUGUAGCCUCGAAGACUUCUGGCUCUCAGCAGUCAAUGAAGCCGUUGUCCGAAGUAACUCAAGAUAGCAUUAUAAUGCAUAUUUUACAGUUUAGAGAAGGUUACCACUUGCAGUGAUUAGUUACUUGUUAAUUAAGAUAACUGAUAAUUAGUGUUAUUUUUUCAACCGUGGCUAAUGAUGAUGAAAGCUAGUGUAUAUGUAUUUUGUUAUUUUCGUUUGGAUGCUGCCUCAAAUGCGUGUUGAAUUACUGCAGGAAUGUCUGUUUUCAUCAUUUAAUAAAGACCAGCAAAGAAUACGUAUCUUGGAAAGCUGAAUAGUUUGCAAGCAAGAGUUUAGUAAAAAUAAAAAUUAAAAUUUUUUACCUUUCAAAAAACUAUUUAUUGAUGAAGGAUGGUGAUAUAUCAGUGGCGGGUUCAACGGAUUGAGCUAUUGAGAGUCUAUACAAGUCAAGCAUAUAUUACUGUGUGUGGAGUUGGCGUUAGAAUCUUGACAGGAGCUCCAUUGUAGUAUAGGGUUCCAUAGGCGGCACGGCACGUAGCUGACAGUACUCCUGGUCACCUUUCUCUUCGGUAGGAAAAAACUAUUACCCAUCUUCUCCUCGCUUAUCUUCACCUCAACUCUCCAGGUCACUUACAGCCAACGAUACUAUAAACCUAUCAGAGACAACGAUGAAUGUUUUAAAGCGUGUAUAACCAUUUUACACAUAAUAUAUGCCAGCACGUCCAGUGGCGGAUCUAACGGUAGGCGGACUAGGCGGUACCGCCUAGGGUCCCCGACACCCUUAAUCCGCCACUGAGCACGUCAUUACAUGUUCGCAAUUGACCCUGACCAGACGGUCGGCAUUUAUAAUAGCUGUCACAGAAGCGUCUAACGGAUGCAGUUGGACCAACGGUAGAGCGGUAGUCCUACAGAACAUAUUUGCGAUGCUGCUGACGCUCGCUUCAUGCAUGUGUAUGUCAUAUCUCAAUCAAUGUUUUAGUAAUGGGCUUUUCUUUCGUGGAACACAAUUCAACA
This is a long non-coding RNA of Anopheles arabiensis, 1852 nucleotides long. RefSeq lists it as uncharacterized. Lineage: Eukaryota; Metazoa; Arthropoda; Insecta; Diptera; Culicidae. The record is from RefSeq and is a predicted model, not a curated record. The transcript is spliced from 3 exons.